CCCGGAUGACAGUGGCGCAAGGGUGAGUAACACGUGAGUAAUCUGCCCCGAAGUCCGGGAUAGCCCAUGGAAACGUGGAUUAAUACCGGAUGUGGCUGUAUGAACUGCGGUUUUAACAGUUAAAGAUUCAUUGCUUCGGGAUGAGCUCGCGGUCCAUCAGCUUGUUGGUGAGGUAAUGGCUCACCAAGGCGACGACGGAUAGCUGGUCUGAGAGGAUGACCAGUCACACUGGGACUGAGACACUGCCCAGACUCCUACGGGAGGCUGCAGUCGAGAAUCUUCCGCAAUGGGCGCAAGCCUGACGGAGCAAUGCUGCGUGCCGGAUGAAGGCCUUCGGGUCGUAAACGGCUGUCACUCGGGACGAAUUUUGACGGUACCGAGAGAGGAAGCCACGGCUAACUACGUGCCAGCAGCCGCGGUAAUACGUAGGUGGCGAGCGUUAUUCGGAAUUAUUGGGCCUAGAGGGUUCGUAGGGGGUAAUGUAAGUCCGGUGUGAAAUCCCGAGGCUCAACCUCGAAACUGCAUUGGAAACUGCGUUACUUGAGUGUCAGAGAGGAAAGCGGAAUUCCUGGUGUAGCGGUGGAAUGCGUAGAUAUCAGGAAGAACACCGACGGCGAAGGCAGCUUUCUGGCUGACAACUGACCCUGAUGAACGAAAGCUAGGGUAGCGAACAGGAUUAGAUACCCUGGUAGUCCUAGCUGUAAACGUUGUGCACUGGAUGUGGGCGGAUUUGGUCCCGUCUGUGUCUGAGCGAAGGCGUUAAGUGCACCGCCUGGGGACUACGUCCGCAAGGCUAAAACUCAAAGGAAUUGACGGGGGCCCGCACAAGCGGUGGAGCAUGUGGCUCAAUUCGAGGCAAUGCGAAGAACCUUACCUGGGUUUGACAUAUACCUGACCGCCGGUGAGGAGCCGGUUUCUCUUUGAGCAGGUAUACAGGUGCUGCAUGGCUGUCGACAGCUCGUGCUGUGAAGUGU
RNAcentral lists this ribosomal RNA (974 nucleotides) under uncultured organism. RNAcentral describes it as "bacterial SSU rRNA". It matches the Rfam family "Bacterial small subunit ribosomal RNA", at positions 84 to 1075 of the family's 1533-position model. The record is from RNAcentral.